UUCUCCCUGAUGGACUCGGAAGUGAUCUU
This 29-nucleotide non-coding RNA is filed under the name Homo sapiens (human). The record is from RNAcentral. Lineage: Eukaryota; Metazoa; Chordata; Mammalia; Primates; Hominidae.